Molecule: long non-coding RNA, 2304 nt
Organism: Rattus norvegicus (Norway rat)
Lineage: Eukaryota; Metazoa; Chordata; Mammalia; Rodentia; Muridae
Source: RefSeq, a predicted model, not a curated record
CACAGCCUCUGACUGAUGCAGCUUGGGCAGUCAACUCCAGGUCCUCAUCAUUAACCUCUCUCUAGGUUGUGGCGUAAGUACCAUCCAGAGAACCAUGACUCCCGGCACACGAUAAUGGCCAAGGACAACAGGAACACAGAGGAGACAAAACCAUAGCCAUCGGCACCCAGCAAUCAGCUGCACCUUGCCUGUGGUGGCCAAGGUUUCCUGCUCCAAGUCUGUGGUCUCCACUGGCUGGAUGCUGUUGCUAUGGUAACAACAGCUUAAGAGCCUUAGCGCCCCCCCCCCUCCGGGGUGACAGGCUUGGAUGGAGAUGGCUGAUCAAAUUCCAGAAGCAUCCUCAGCCUUCUGCAUGCAAGGCCUGGGAGAAGAAUGUCAAGUCUGAGCUGCCUGAGGCCUGGAUUCCCAAGAACUCCCCGAGGGAGCCACCCUAGGUUUCAAGAGUCCCCUGAAAUUCACAUGUUGGAAACUGGAGAGAUGGAGGUGGAAAGAUCAAACGUGUGCUCGCUGCCCUCCUUCAAGAUUAAUGUGGGGGGGUGGCCUUCUCAUAAGGAUGGGUUUGGCCCUCCCCACCACCCCCUCACAUAAGCUCCAUCUGCAGGUGACCCUUGCACUGAAGAAGGUCCUCACAGGGGGCAGCCCCUUGACCUUGGACUCCCCAGUCUCUAGAACUGUAAAUCCAAAGGACUUCCAUUGUUUGUAAGUCCCACAGCCUGUGGUCAUCUGUGAUGGCAGCAGAAUAGACAACACAACAACAAGAAGACACCAAGCAGGUGGCCUCGGUACAGCCUCCAGCCUCCCCCAAGCCCGGAGCCUCCCCCAGGCCCGGAGCCUGGUUUUAGGCAGAGAGGAUGUCAGUCCCUGGGCAUCCCCCAGGUCCAGAGCCUGGUUUUAGUGUGUCUACAGAGGGGAUGUCAGUCCCUGGGCAUCCCCCAGGCCCGGAGCCUGGUUUUAGUGUGUCUACAGAGGGGAUGUCAGUCCCUGGAUAUCCUUUCUUACAAUCACCUUCACUGGUGGGUCUGAAACAGGCAGACCUCAGGCUAUGCUUAGAGAAAUCCAGAGUCUUAGAGAAGAGUCUUGAAGCUGUUUGGGGCUGAGAUGUCUCCUGAGGCACCUCGUCCUCCCGAACAUGACUCAGGCUUUCUCUCUCCCUGUCUCAUUCUCCCUGAUGGGAGAAUAGACGUCCUGCUCUUCUCCCAGGGCCUGGAAAACUCAGCCGGGGCUGCCAGGAGGCCAUCUUGGUGAUUCAGAGCCCUGUGAAUACUUCCAACGUCUGUGAUUAAAGGUGACACUAGGGGGCGCUAUGCAGCCCUGUAAAAAGCCAGGGGCUGUAGAUCGAAUGGUCUUUGUCUGUUGCACCCACCCUCACCAGCUUUUAAAGACUGCACCCCGCUCCCCCCACACACACACACCCGCCACCACCGUUGCCCCUGAUGAUUCAGCACAGCUGGUACUGAAUGUGGGACUUGGAGAUGAGGUAACACUCCCUGGGAACCGGGGGUUGUCUGUGGAUUGCGCGGACAAGAUUCCGUGUGGUGCUUUGGGCCUGAGCUGGGGACCCUGGUCCCUGGGGAGAACUCCGCACCAACCAACUUCUUCCCCUCCAUGUUGCGGCCUGUGCGCACCAAAGCCAGCUCCUGGGAGUAGGAGUGCUGGGCCGCCUCCACCUCAGAUGGCCUCUCAAGAGUACUACUGCUGUCCUUUCUGUCUCCUGACAGGCCUCAGCUGGAUGGAACUUGCCUGACAAAUGCCCUUUAGGAACCCCCAAUCCCUGCUUACCUUUCUCCCAGUGGCUCCUGGGGGACACUGUCAAAUGCAAAGCCCUUGUCUUGGGGUCUGUUAAUCUGGGUCUGGAGACAAGAGCCGCCCCUCCCACUACUUUGUUACCCAUGUGAACCCAGGGUUUCCUGGGUUUGGGCUUCCUAAGGACAAUUCUUUGACAAGGAGCCCCCGGCCACCCUUGCCAUAUGAGACUUUACGGUCACAACCCUCAAUAAAAAUGUCCUUUUAUUGAGUCUGGAUUCUAACUCCCACAAGCCCUAUUCUGUGUGGCUAAUCACCCAUCGUCUUGGCGUUUUCGGGAGCUGGAAGAUGGUCCUAAUAUUGUUCUACGGCCAUAUUUGAUGGGGUGGCAUGGGCUCUGUGGAUCCUAUCACAGCCCUGGGAGCUGACGUGGUGGUUCAGAUCCAGUUAGAGGGACGCAGGAGGGCUUGUGUGGGGCGAGUCCUCCAGGGAUGUCUGUGAGUCUGUUCCUUCCGAGGAAAAGCUGCCCCCAGUCAGACGGGAGGCCUUUCUCUGCUUGGG